This 406-nucleotide ribosomal RNA is filed under the name uncultured bacterium. Its description in RNAcentral is "partial 16S ribosomal RNA". It matches the Rfam family "Bacterial small subunit ribosomal RNA", at positions 28 to 526 of the family's 1533-position model. The record is from RNAcentral.
GAUGAACGCUAGCUACAGGCUUAACACAUGCAAGUCGAGGGACCGGCGCACGGGUGAGUAACACGUAUCCACCCUGCCCUUUACUCGGGGAUAGCCUUUCGAAAGAAAGAUUAAUACCCGAUAUCAAGGAUGGGUAUGCGUUCCAUUAGGUUGUUGGUGAGGUAACGGCUCACCAAGCCUUCGAUGGAUAGGGGUUCGGAGAGGAAGGUCCCCCACAUUGGAACUUAGACACGGUCCAAAAUCCGACGGGCGGCAGCAGUGAGUAAUAGUGGUCAAUGGGCGCUAGCCUGAACCAGCCAAGUAGCGUGAAGGAUGAAGGCUUAUGGGUCGUAAACUUCUUUUAUAUAAGAAUAUGUAUUAGAUGAAUAAGGAUCGGCUAACUCCGUGCCAGCAGCCGCGGUAAUUC